GUGGGGAAUAUUCCGCAAUGGACGAAAGUCUGACGGAGCAACGCCGCGUGAGUGAUGAAGGUUUUCGGACUGUAAAGCUCUGUUGUUUAGGACGAAAGUGCCUGUUGCAAAUAGUUACAGGUAUUGACGGUACUGAACGAGGAAGCCACGGCUAACUACGUGCCAGCAGCCGCGGUAAUACGUAGGUGGCAAGCGUUGUCCGGAAUUAUUGGGCGUAAAGAGCAUGUAGGCGGGAAUCUAAGUCUGUUUUGAAAAUGCGGGGCUCAACCCCGUAUUGCGAUGGAAACUGGGUUUCUUGAGUGCAGGAGAGGAAAGGGGAAUUCCCAGUGUAGCGGUGAAAUGCGUAGAUAUUGGGAGGAACACCAGUGGCGAAGGCGCCUUUCUGGACUGUGUCUGACGCUGAGAUGCGAAAGCCAGGGUAGCGAACGGGAUUAGAAACCCGAGUAGUCC
Molecule: ribosomal RNA, 450 nt
Filed under: uncultured bacterium
Lineage: Bacteria
Description: partial 16S ribosomal RNA
Rfam family: Bacterial small subunit ribosomal RNA
Source: RNAcentral